Molecule: ribosomal RNA, 406 nt
Filed under: uncultured bacterium
Lineage: Bacteria
Description: partial 16S ribosomal RNA
Rfam family: Bacterial small subunit ribosomal RNA
Source: RNAcentral
AUUGAACGCUGGCGGCAGGCCUAACACAUGCAAGUCGAACGAGUGGCGGACGGGUGAGUAAUGUCUGGGAAACUGCCCGAUGGAGGGGGAUAACUACUGGAAACGGUAGCUAAUACCGCAUACCAUCGGAUGUGCCCAGAUGGGAUUAGCUAGUAGGUGGGGUAAAGGCUCACCAAGGCGACGAUGCAUAGCUGGUCUGAGAGGAUGACCGGCCACACUGGGACUGAGACACGGUCCAGACUCCAACGGGAGGCAGCAGUGGGGAAUAUUGGACAAUGGGCGAAAGGCUGAUGCAGCCAUGCCGCGUGUGUGAAGAAGGUUUUCGGGUUGUAAAACUCUUUCGUUAAGGAAGCGGUACCCGAAGAAGAAGCACCGGCUAACUCCGUGCCAGCAGCCGCGGUAAUAC